GGGUGCAGGGAGUGAGAGCCGAGCUCUGUCCUCUUGGGUGCAGGCUCUGGGGUGGUCCAGUACAUGAACAGAACACGGCAGCUUGUCAGUGGGUGCUCGUGCACCUGAUGGGUCUGCGGGACCUUUUCUGGGUCUACUGAGCAAAAGGAAAACGGAUGGAUGAUGGCAGUGGCUGGGGGAGUUUGCUUCGCCUCUGAAAAUUACAUCCCAUCUCUGGUGUGACGGAGUGGAAUCCACCUGGAAGAUGAAGGGAAUUGUUCCUAAACGCCCUUGUCCUAGUGGGAUGGAUUCAGGGCCAGGCAGGAACCCUGAACUCGCAGAGAUGGGGAACCGGAGGCAUGGGAACCGCAGCACCACAGGGACCGGCAGGGGAAAUAGCUUAAAAAAACUCACCCGAAACAACACUGUGCUAUAUUUGUAAGCUAUCUGUAUAAAACAUAUCUGCAUUGAAUAUCAGUGUAAUGGGAAGCCAGUGUCAGGGAGUGUGACCCCAAGUCCAUCUGGAUGCAAUUCUAGCCUAACAUCUGAAAAUCAAAUACAUAUUUUUGAAGCCUA
Pezoporus occidentalis (night parrot) is the source of this 555-nucleotide long non-coding RNA. RefSeq lists it as uncharacterized. NCBI's taxonomy places the organism in Eukaryota, Metazoa, Chordata, Aves, Psittaciformes, Psittacidae. The record is from RefSeq and is a predicted model, not a curated record. The transcript has 2 exons.